GUCUGACAGCACACACACAGAGCAUAUGGAAGGAUACAGAGAAGAUUAGCAUGGCCCCUGUGGAACGAUGACACAGACAUCUAUGAUGCAUCAUUCCAUAUUUUU
Rattus norvegicus (Norway rat) is the source of this 105-nucleotide small nuclear RNA. Lineage: Eukaryota; Metazoa; Chordata; Mammalia; Rodentia; Muridae. The record is from Ensembl.